GACGAACGCUGGCGGCGUGCCUAAUACAUGCAAGUCGAGCGGACUUGAUGAAGUGCUUGCACUUCUGAGAGUUAGCGGCGGACGGGUGAGUAACACGUAGGUAACCUGCCUGUAAGACUGGGAUAACAUUCGGAAACGGAUGCUAAUACCGGAUACGCGUUUCUAUCGCAUGAUGGAAACGGGAAAGACGGAGCAAUCUGUCACUUACAGAUGGACCUGCGGCGCAUUAGCUAGUUGGUGAGGUAACGGCUCACCAAGGCGACGAUGCGUAGCCGACCUGAGAGGGUGAUCGGCCACACUGGGACUGAGACACGGCCCAGACUCCUACGGGAGGCUG
RNAcentral lists this ribosomal RNA (337 nucleotides) under uncultured Bacillota bacterium. RNAcentral's name for it is "bacterial SSU rRNA". It matches the Rfam family "Bacterial small subunit ribosomal RNA", at positions 28 to 351 of the family's 1533-position model. The record is from RNAcentral. Lineage: Bacteria; Bacillati; Bacillota.